RNAcentral lists this transfer RNA (53 nucleotides) under Psoroptes ovis (sheep scab mite). RNAcentral describes it as "tRNA-Ser". Lineage: Eukaryota; Metazoa; Arthropoda; Arachnida; Sarcoptiformes; Psoroptidae. The record is from RNAcentral.
AAAGAUGUAGAUAAUAGACUUCUAAUCUAAUUUUUCUGAAAAGAACAUCUUUA